This 253-nucleotide ribosomal RNA is filed under the name uncultured bacterium. Its description in RNAcentral is "partial 16S ribosomal RNA". It matches the Rfam family "Bacterial small subunit ribosomal RNA", at positions 524 to 776 of the family's 1533-position model. The record is from RNAcentral.
UACGUAGGGUGCAAGCGUUGUCCGGAAUUAUUGGGCGUAAAGAGCUUGUAGGCGGUUUGUCGCGUCUGCUGUGAAAUUUCGGGGCUCAACCCCGAACUUGCAGUGGGUACGGGCAGACUAGAGUGUGGUAGGGGAGACUGGAAUUCCUGGUGUAGCGGUGAAAUGCGCAGAUAUCAGGAGGAACACCGAUGGCGAAGGCAGGUCUCUGGGCCACUACUGACGCUGAGACACGAAAGCGUGGGUAGCAAACAGG